This 608-nucleotide ribosomal RNA is filed under the name uncultured soil bacterium. Its description in RNAcentral is "bacterial SSU rRNA". It matches the Rfam family "Bacterial small subunit ribosomal RNA", at positions 224 to 823 of the family's 1533-position model. The record is from RNAcentral.
GAGGGGCCCGCGCCUGAUUAGCUAGUUGGUGGGGUAAUGGCUCACCAAGGCAACGAUCAGUAUCCGGCCUGAGAGGGCGGACGGACACACUGGGACUGAGACACGGCCCAGACUCCUACGGGAGGCAGCAGUGGGGAAUUGUUCGCAAUGGGCGCAAGCCUGACGACGCAACGCCGCGUGGAGGAUGAAGACCUUCGGGUCGUAAACUCCUUUCGAUCGAGACGAAUGGUCUCUGGAUGAACAAUCCGGGGAAGUGACGGUACCGAGAGAAGAAGCCCCGGCUAACUCCGUGCCAGCAGCCGCGGUAAUACGGGGGGGGCAAGCGUUGUUCGGAAUUACUGGGCGUAAAGGGCUCGUAGGCGGCCAACUAAGUCAGACGUGAAAUCCCUCGGCUUAACCGGGGAACUGCGUCUGAUACUGGAUGGCUUGAGUUCGGGAGAGGGAUGCGGAAUUCCAGGUGUAGCGGUGAAAUGCGUAGAUAUCUGGAGGAACACCGGUGGCGAAGGCGGCAUCCUGGACCGGCACUGACGCUGAGGAGCGAAAGCCAGGGGAGCAAACGGGAUUAGAUACCCCGGUAGUCCUGGCCCUAAACGAUGAAUGCUUGGUGU